GCACUGUUGAGGGGUCUCAUAAUAGGACGAAACGACCGUCCAGUAC
Molecule: non-coding RNA, 46 nt
Organism: Schistosoma rodhaini
Lineage: Eukaryota; Metazoa; Platyhelminthes; Trematoda; Strigeidida; Schistosomatidae
Source: Rfam